RNAcentral lists this unclassified non-coding RNA (393 nucleotides) under soil metagenome. RNAcentral's name for it is "partial contains 5.8S ribosomal RNA, internal transcribed spacer 2, and large subunit ribosomal RNA". The stretch from base 1 to 120 matches the Rfam family "5.8S ribosomal RNA", at positions 35 to 154 of the family's 154-position model. The record is from RNAcentral.
GAUGAAGAACGUAGUGAAAUGCGAUAAGUAAUGUGAAUUGCAGAAUCUCGUGAAUCAUUGAAUCUUUGAACGCACAUUGCGCCCUAUGGUAUUCCGUAGGGCAUGCCUGUCUGAGCGUUAGCUCACACCCCUCAAACUACUUUAUUGUUGGUUUGGAUGACUUUGGGAAAGCAUUAUAAAAAAAAAAAAAAUUUUUUUUUCUUAUGCCUCUCAGAAAUCUAUAGGCGGUACGGUUCCAACAAAACCAGAACGUAGUAAUUAAUUUUUAUAUCGUUCGUUUAUAUUUUGGAGGAGCUGUUGGCUUGCCUUUUGAACCCACAUAUUUAUUCUUAGGAAUAACCUCAGAUCAGGUAGGGAUACCCGCUGAACUUAAGCAUAUCAAUAAGCGGAGGA